UACGGAGGGUGCAAGCGUUAAUCGGAAUUACUGGGCGUAAAGCGCGCGUAGGUGGUUCGUUAAGUCGGAUGUGAAAGCCCCGGGCUCAACCUGGGAAUUGCAUUCGAUACUGGCAGACUAGAGUAUGGUAGAGGGAAGUGGAAUUCCAGGUGUAGCGGUGAAAUGCGUAGAUAUCUGGAGGAACAUCAGUGGCGAAGGCGACUUCCUGGACCAAUACUGACACUGAGGUG
This 230-nucleotide ribosomal RNA is filed under the name uncultured microorganism. RNAcentral describes it as "partial 16S ribosomal RNA". It matches the Rfam family "Bacterial small subunit ribosomal RNA", at positions 524 to 753 of the family's 1533-position model. The record is from RNAcentral.